CCUACGGGUGGCAGCAGUCGAGAAUCAUUCACAAUGGGGGAAACCCUGAUGGUGCGACGCCGCGUGGGGGAAUGAAGGUCUUCGGAUUGUAAACCCCUGUCAUGUGGGAGCAAAUUAAAAAGCUAGUACCACAAGAGGAAGAGACGGCUAACUAUGUGCCAGCAGCAGCGGUAAUACAGAGGUCUUAAGCGUUGUUCGGAAUCACUGGUCGUAAAGUGUGCGUAGGCUGAUUCGUAAGUCGUGUGUGAAAGGCGCGGGCUCAACCCGCGGACGGCACAUGAAACUGGGAGACUAGAGUAAUGGAGGGGGAAGCGGAAUUCGCGGUGUAGCAGUGAAAUGCGUAGAGA
This 347-nucleotide ribosomal RNA is filed under the name uncultured bacterium. RNAcentral describes it as "partial 16S ribosomal RNA". It matches the Rfam family "Bacterial small subunit ribosomal RNA", at positions 338 to 696 of the family's 1533-position model. The record is from RNAcentral.